RNAcentral lists this ribosomal RNA (207 nucleotides) under uncultured Treponema sp. Its description in RNAcentral is "partial 16S ribosomal RNA". It matches the Rfam family "Bacterial small subunit ribosomal RNA", at positions 568 to 774 of the family's 1533-position model. The record is from RNAcentral. Lineage: Bacteria; Pseudomonadati; Spirochaetota; Spirochaetia; Treponematales; Treponemataceae.
CAUGUAGGCGGUUUGGUAAGCCUGGUGUGAAAUCCUGCAGCUUAACUGUAGAAUUGCAUUGGGUACUGCCAGACUUGAAUCACGGAGGGGAAACUAGAAUUCCAGGUGUAGGGGUGGAAUCUGUAGAUAUCUGGAAGAAUACCGGUGGCGAAGGCGGGUUUCUAGCCGAUGAUUGACGCUGAGGUGCGAAAGUGCGGGGAGCAAACA